RNAcentral lists this long non-coding RNA (588 nucleotides) under Venturia canescens. Its description in RNAcentral is "uncharacterized LOC122406902, transcript variant X4". The record is from RNAcentral. Lineage: Eukaryota; Metazoa; Arthropoda; Insecta; Hymenoptera; Ichneumonidae.
AAACGAGUUUAUGGCGUUAUGUUUUUCCCGGGCAUUUGGUUUGGUCGUUUUACCUGGCACAGCUCUGGCUCCCAUCCGAGAAGAAAAUGACAUGAGAGCGAUCCCGACGAGCGUGCAAUCCAACAGGGGCUUUGUCAGACUCGAGUAAAGAUGGGCCACGGAACUGGCCAAUUCUGAAAGAUCGUCAGUCAGUCUUUGUUCCGCACCUCCGAGUCUCGUAUCCAGAGCAGAUACUCUGUAGUACGUCUGUUGACUCAGAUACAUCUUGUACGCGUAUUUAACUAGUCUUUCUCUAAAAAAUAAAAAUGAAAACAAAAAGGAAACGAUAAGUGGAAAAUAAUUUGAAAAAAAAUGAAUUAAAAGACAAACUACCGGGAGAUUCUGAGCUUUGAAAAAAAUCGUUCGAAACGGCUUUCGAUUCGGAACAAUGGCGAGGAACAUUUUGAAGAAGGCUACCUCGCCUCUCAGAACCGUUCUCCAGACUGCAAACGACUUUCAAACUAUUGUCUCACGAUUACGCUUCAUUCGGGGCUCCUGUCGUCGGGUCAAGAGGGCAUUCUCGUUGCAGUACCGAUGGGAUAAGCGGGC